UACGUAGGGUGCGAGCGUUAAUCGGAAUUACUGGGCGUAAAGCGUGCGCAGGCGGUUUUGUAAGCCAGAUGUGAAAUCCCCGGGCUUAACCUGGGAAUGGCAUUUGGGACUGCAAGGCUUGAGUGCGGCAGAGGAGACUGGAAUUCCCGGUGUAGCAGUGAAAUGCGUAGAUAUCGGGAGGAACAUCAGUGGCGAAGGCGGCCCUCUGGUCCAGUACUGACACUCAAGUGCGAAAGCGUGGGGAGCAAACAGG
RNAcentral lists this ribosomal RNA (253 nucleotides) under uncultured bacterium. RNAcentral's name for it is "partial 16S ribosomal RNA". It matches the Rfam family "Bacterial small subunit ribosomal RNA", at positions 524 to 776 of the family's 1533-position model. The record is from RNAcentral.